RNAcentral lists this ribosomal RNA (381 nucleotides) under uncultured marine bacterium. Its description in RNAcentral is "bacterial SSU rRNA". It matches the Rfam family "Bacterial small subunit ribosomal RNA", at positions 1 to 369 of the family's 1533-position model. The record is from RNAcentral.
UAGAGUUUGAUCAUGGCUCAGAAUGAGCGCUGGCGGCGUGCUUAACACAUGCAAGUCGAUCGAGAAAGGGAUUGCUUGCAAUCCUGAGUAGAGUGGCGCACGGGUGAGUAGCGCGGGGGAUAAUCUACCUUCGAGCCUGGAAUAACUAUUCGAAAGGAUAGCUAAUACCGGAUGAAGUUUGUUAGCUUGAGUUAAUAAAUGAAAGAUUGCCUCUUCUUGAAAGCAAUUGUUUGGAGAUGAGUCUGCGGACCAUUAGUUUGUUGGUGGGGUAAUGGCCUACCAAGACUGCGAUGGUUAGCUGGUCUGAGAGGAUGAUCAGUCACACUGGAACUGGAACACGGUCCAGACUCCUACGGGAGGCAGCAGUGAGGAAUUUUUCUC